UCCCCGCGGCCCGGGCGGUCCGCCCGCUUCCCUCCGGGUUCGGUUUUCCGCGGGCCGCACAGGCUGCGCCCCAAUCCCGUCAUGCCUGCCGGCCCAGGCUUUGAGAGAAACUUUCCAGAAGCGCCCGGCCGAGUGACCCCGUGCUGGAGAAGGAGGCGGCGCGGGAGCGGGAAAGACAGCGGAAUCCUGUUUCCCUUCCCGAAACGCACAAGUUCGGGACCGCUCCCCGGCUCCCCCCGUACCUCUCGAGUGUGGGAAGAGGGAGCGAUCUUGGGAUCCUGCUUUUGCACCGUAUGCCACAGUGGGGAGCUGAGGGGGAAAAGCAGAGACUCUGGAGAAGGGACACUUCCAUCCCCGCCGAGUCACCCGGGGAGGGUGGGCACUGCCGGGCCAGCUCCCAGGCGCCCCGCCGCCGGCCACGCAGCUCUCGAGGACGCAGCGAGUACUCCGGACCCCCAGGACCUGGGGCCGGGCCAGAGCCCUUGUCUGGGUAGCAAGCACUGGGCCAUCUUUUGCAAGACUUUCCACCCUUCCCCUCCAGGGACAACUCCUUUCCAGAGAGGGACCUCUUGGAUUUUGGAGGAGGGCGCAGCGGGCGUGAGGCCCCGGCGUGGCGGGCUCCGUGCCGGAGGGGGACGCAGCCGCGACAGAUGCUGCCCUCGCCGGCCAGAAGGGAGCUGCAGCGGGGGACAGGAUCCGGGGCGGGGGGCACCGCGCCACACCGGGAGGAGACCGUUCCUGGGCUCUCAUUCGAGCAAACAAAGCCCGGAACCUCUGGUGCCAGCGGCCGCGAAAGCCUGGAUGUCCCCAAGAGGCAGGGCGCACGGGUACCGGGGCCAUUACAAGUUUCCCGCACUCCACAGAGCUCAGCCCAGACCCCGAGCGCACAACAAAAGAUUCUCUUCGCUUUCCCACCGUCUCUGCGGAGCCCCUUCUCCCACCACGGAACCCACCCCUGGUGCUGGGCACCAACAGCGCUCUUCCAGCCAACGUCCUCCAGCCCUUGAGGGCACAACCCUUGCCCCCGCCUUUGCACCAGGACUGGGCGCUCCUGAGAAUCCCACCCUCUCGGGGCCUCUCUGCUCCCUCCCUGCUGGCCCGAAAGUGAGCCCGGGCCCCGGGCCCUACACACGCGUCCCCCUGCCAGGCAGCACCGGGCGGCGCCGGGCGUGUGCGCCGCGCGGGUGGGGAAGCUCGAAGCGCGG
Molecule: long non-coding RNA, 1205 nt
Filed under: Canis lupus dingo (dingo)
Lineage: Eukaryota; Metazoa; Chordata; Mammalia; Carnivora; Canidae
Description: lncRNA (ENSCAFG00020004179.1)
Source: RNAcentral